CAGCCGCCGCGGGAAUACGAAGGGGGCUAGCGUUGCUCGGAAUCACUGGGCGUAAAGGGUGCGUAGGCGGGUCUUUAAGUCAGGGGUGAAAUCCUGGAGCUCAACUCCAGAACUGCCUUUGAUACUGAAGAUCUUGAGUUCGGGAGAGGUGAGUGGAACUGCGAGUGUAGGGGUGAAAUUCGUAGAUAUUCGCAAGAACACCAGUGGCGAAGGCGGCUCACUGGCCCGAUACUGACGCUGAGGCACGAAAGCGUGGGGAGCAAACAGGAUUAGAUACCCGUGUAGUCCCUGUCUCUUAUAC
This 301-nucleotide ribosomal RNA is filed under the name uncultured bacterium. RNAcentral describes it as "partial 16S ribosomal RNA". It matches the Rfam family "Bacterial small subunit ribosomal RNA", at positions 509 to 807 of the family's 1533-position model. The record is from RNAcentral.